AGUUUGAAUUGAACCGUGUUGUGUACGUUAUAAAUGUCAAAAGAAAAACAUAAAUAACAAGUUUUACAAAAUGGAAGCAUCAAAACAAGAAAAUAUUUCAAGACAAUCAUCGAUUUUGAAAGCUCCAAAACAGCGCCAACCCUUACAAACUGUUGCUACAAAUCCUUCUUCAUCAGAAAGUUCUCCUACUAUAAAAAUCAAGAGGCGUGUUAGUUUUGCCAAAAAUAAAAGGAUAAGAGAAUUCUGCAAUGAAGUUGAGCCAAAAGAAGGUUUGGAUGAUUCAUAUGAAGAACAUGAUCUUAGUAGCACAAAAAGCAGUAAUGGUAAUAGCACUGAUCAGCCUUUAGUUAUCAGUGUUGCAUGCGAAGACAAAGAGAAUUUUCCCAUUCAGUUAUUUUUACCUACUGAUCAAUUUGAGUGCAAAGAAAUAAUGCCAGUUCCUUGUUCUGCUAAAGGAGAUUUUUCACAAUAUGAAAUAGACAUGGAUCAUUCAAUCAAUACAUUGGAAUUUAUAAAUGCUGAAAUACAAAAUCAAGAAAUGUCUAAUGCAACAAUAUAUUUUGAUGAUGGUAUGGACAUAACAGCUUCUAUUCAACCUCAGAUCAUUUCUGCACAUAUUGAAGAAGAAGCUUGUUAUAAUGAUACUGUUCCUGUAUCUAAAACAUGUAUUGAAGAUAUUCCUAUGGAAAUGACUGAAAAUGUGCAAUCGAUACUGUCUAAAAAGUUAGUCCCUAAUCAAAGUAAAAAUCGAAAUAAUUCCUUAAAUUCUACAGAGACCUGCUCUGCAAUUUUAGGAAUUGGACAUGUAAAAAAAUUAUUAGAAUCACAACAUACUAAGCCUUUUGCAAAAAGUUGCGAAAAUGAAACUGAAUGUUUUACUGAUGUACCUUUGGAAUUUACUUCAAUAAUUCCAAGUUCUACCUGGAUAAGACCAUUUAAUCAGAGCCAAGGUGGUGAUGAAACUGAAAGAUUCAAUUGUAAAACUAUGGAAUUUACUGAAGUUGCACAACUUCAUAAUAUUAUGUCUAACAAUAAAGCAGAAGAAAUUUUAAAUACAUCAGACAAAGUCAAGAAAGUACUAUUAGCUGAUGAAAACAGUAAAAUAUCAAAUAUGUUGUUGAAACAAACUCAGCAUAAGGAAGUUUGUCAAGAAAAAAAUAAUAUCCUUUGUAAUAGCUCAACAGUAAUAAAUGAUGCCAGUUCAAACCAAAAGAUGAUCAAUCAAUCUGGUAAUGUUAAUUGUAAUUUAUUAGAGAUAAGGCCAGAAACAACCAAUUUUUUCAAUAAUGCAUCAAUGGAAAUUACUGAAGCAGUUCCUGUGUUCAAUGAAAUAAAAAUAUUGAACAGAUCAAGUAUUGAAGAAGAGAUACCACAAGAAAAAACUAAAUUUUCUAUAGAUGCAUCAAUGGAAAUGACUGAAAUUAUCACCAGUCAGAAUAAAAUAGAUCAACAUACUAGUCUUAAAAAUAAAGAACUAGAACUAGAUACAAACAAAACUAAAUUAUUUUCCAAUAUAUCUAUGGAUAUGACCGAAGCAAUUCCUAAUUGCCAGAAAAUUGAUCAUCCCAUUGAAAUUAUACCAAAAUCUCAUCAAGGAAAUAUACAUGAUAACACAAAGAUUUUUAUUAAUAAUUCAAUGGAAAUGACUGAAGCACUUGGUUUGAAUGAAAUUCAAAAAUUAAACAAUCGUAAAAAUCAAUUAAUGAUAUCAGAAAAAGAAAAAAAUCCAUUCUUUGAAAUUGCUGGAAAAAUUCAACCAGGAAAUAUACCAGAUAAAACAAAAUUUUUCAACAAUAAUUCUAUGGAAAUGACUGAAGCACUCGGUGUGAAUGAAAUUCAAAGAUUAAAUUAUUGUAAAAAUCAAUUAACGGUAUUAGAACAAGAAAACGCUCGAUUCUUUGAUAUUACUGGAAAAACUAAACUAGGAAGUGUAUCCAAUAAAUCAAAAUUUUUCAACGAUAAUCCGAUGGAAAUGACUGAAGUACUUGGUUUUAACGAUAUUCCAAAAUUAAAUCAUUGCAAACGUCAAUUAUCAGCUCCUGAGAGUGAAAAAACACAAAUCUUUUUCAAUACAUCCAUGGAAAUAACAGAAGCAGCUCCUAUGAGUAAUAAAAUUAAUAAAUCGAUACUUACUGUAAAUAAAACUCAUCACGAAACAAUACAAAAUAAAACAAAACUUUCUAAUGAUAAAUCAAUAGAGGUAACAAAUUGUGUACUCCAUAAUACUGAAAUUUCACCAGUCGACAAAUUAGACAACAAUCAAUUAUGUGAACCAAGAGAAGAAAAAACUAAAUUAUUUUUCAAUACCUCUAUGGAAAUAACUGACAGUGCAGCUGAAUUACUCAAUAAAAUUAAUCAGCCUACUGAAAAUAAGCAAAUAACUAUUCAUAAUGAAGAUGUAGCACUUCAAAAUACUGAAUUGUUACAUAAUAAAUCAAUGGAGAUUACUGAAGCAGUUCCCGUAUAUGAUAUUCAUUUAUGUACAUCUGAUAAAGGAACUAUUCAAAAAGAAUUUAUAGAAGAUAGGAACAAAAUAUUUCAAAAUACAUCGAUAGAGGUAACUGAGGCUGUACAUAAUUACAACAAAUCCGAUCUAUUGUGCAAUUCCAAAAACCAGCUUGCAGAACUAGAACAAGAACAAACAAAGUUAUUUUUUAAUUCAUCAAUAGACAUAGCUGAAGCUGCUCCAGUGAUUAGCAGAGCUCAUCAAAUUGGUUCUGAAUUGAAAAGUACACUUAGUAAAAAUAUACGAGACGAAAUAGACAAUUUUCAAAAUAAGUCAAUGGAAAUGACAGAACCAGUUAAGAAUCUCUGCAGUAAAAAUUACCAUUUUGAACAAUCUAUGUCAAAAUCUCAAAUUGAUGAUAAGCUGCAAGAAAAAUCAAAUAAAUUCCCAAAUAUGUCAAUAAUGGAAACCAUCUCUUUAAAUAGAGAAAUUUCGCAGUGCAAUACAAAAAACAGUACAGAUAUAUUGAAGCAUAAAAACCUCGGAAUUGAAACCAUCAACUCUGAUAAUAAAACCACAGAUAAAACUAAAUACUUUAAUAAGUCUAUGGAUUUCACAGAAAUUCUACCAGUAAUUAAUCAUCAAAGUAUGUCACGUUACGUUCAAAAUGAAGCUGCAAAUGUAAUAACAGACAAAACCAAACAUUUCUACAAUAAUUCAAUGGAUAUUACUGAAGCUGCAAUGCAAAAUCAAAAUUCAAUUAGCGCAAAUCCUUCAACUUUGGCCAAGUCAUUAAAAAAUUCAGAAAGAUUGCAUCAGUAUGACAGAAGCUUAUGUAAUGAUACAAAUGUUCCGAAUCCAAAUCAUUUAGACAAUAAAAAAGAUAGUGUUUUUAAUAGAUCUAGUUACAGAGACAAAAGUUUUCAACGAAUAACAACUGAUGAAUUGCAUACUUUAUGUGCAUCCAUGAAUUUGCCAACUCAAAACUACACAGCUGAAAGGAACACAACUUUACAAAAUGAUUAUAUAUCUAUAUGUAACGACGUAAAUGUUCUACGAGAUUCUUUACAAAAAAAUAGCAUUUUUCAGCAAAAUUUUACUAUUGGUAGUAGUAUCAGUGUAGCAGUAGAUAAUAAUAUACAAAUCUCUACCAAUGUCAAUGGAAGCACGAACAAACAAGAUGAUCUACAAAUAUUUUGUAACAAAAAUUGCAAUUCAGAUGAAAAAAGAGAGAUUACAAGUAAAGAAGAAUUAGACAAUUUAGUUGCUGGAUCUGAAAAAGAAUACAAUAACAGUGAAAAAGACGUUUCAAGAGAAAAAAACCUCAGAGUUUUCGAAAUAAAAUCAAUAGAAUUAAAUAGAAUCAAUAGAAAUUCGCAAGAUCAAAACGUAUCUGGUGUAUCGAAUAAAAGUAUGACAAUUGGCAAUCAUACCGAAUAUUCAGAAUCUAAUAUUUUAAAUGAGAAACAAACUUGCGGAAUAGAAAGCAAUAUUCAUUGUUUAAAUAAGAGCGAAAUAGUUCAGAUUCAUAAUAAUACUUCACCAACAUUUUCAAAUACUCAAAAAUCAUCCAUUAAAAGGAAAUCCUCGGAGAUGGAUGAACAUUUUGAAAUUGUCGAAAAUAGUUUGAAAAGAUUACCAUCAGAUAAUACAGAUUUUCUUAUAGCGACCAUGGGUAUUAGAACUGAAUUAUCCCAUCCUUUGAUUAUUAAUCAUAAAACUACGAUAAAAGUUCCUUGUACGCCUUUAGAAAAUAAUUCUCACGGUCUUAGUUUUUCUUCAGAUGAAUCGAUUCGUCUUGAAGAAAAUAUUAGUAGAGGAGAGCAUGAAAAAUCUUCAAAAAAUAAAACAACUUCUAUCAUAGAAAAUGAAGUAUUUAAUGAUGAUCGUAGUUAUUUGGAUAAAGAAAAUAACAUUUCAGAGAAUAAAGAAUGUCUUGAAAAGUUUGAAUCGUUUUCAGAAAAUUUUAUAAUGAAUGAACUCGAUGAAAUUCAACCGCCUUCGUUUUUGUGUUCAGACAGUUUUCAAACUGAUUCUAUUGUUGAUGCCGAAGUUCCAAACAAUAAAUCAUCAGAUGCCAUACCUAGUGACAUAAUUCAAGAACAAAUAAAUAUAACAUUCGAAAAUCAAUUCUGUACAGUAAACAGCAAUUCAUGUAAUUCCAAGAAUUCAUCAACACGAGAAACAAAGCAGAGUUUGGAAAAGGACUUUUUACCUUCAAUAAGUACACAUACAGUAGGCUUAGCGACGAUUUUUCAUAAAGAAAAUAGCGAAACAGUUGAUAAACUAGAAUCUUUUAACAGUUCAAAACAUGUUAAUGAUUCAGAAAUUAGUCUCAUAAAUGAAGAAGACGUUAACAUUGAUCCUCUUGCACCCUUUAUAGAAUUGACGAAAAGCAUUGAAAUUUACGAACGAAGGGACGAUUGCAUAUGGACUAUACGAAAAAUUGACCAAAAAACGGUUGCAGUAAAUUUCAUAUCCGAAUCAUUUGUAACCAUUAUAAGACUCAAUGAAAUCGAAAAAGCUUGCAUAAAAGAUAUUGAUAAUAUAGAAUUUAUAUCUCGGCUUCAUUCUGAUACGAAAAAUAUUUUAUUAAAAAUUGUUCAUUGUCUGCUACUGUCCAAAUUAAAGACUGAUAAAUUAUUAUCACAAUAUAAAAUGUAUGAAGAUGUUUUGCCAUUAUUAGAUUUCAUAUCAAAUGAAGUCAUUUUGACAAUGAAUUUUAUGUUUGAUUUGGAGCGAUUAAGUUCAUUAAAUUUAUUAAACGUAGAAAGUGAAAGAGUAUUGUUCAUGGUGUCAUCCAAAAAGGGAAAUAUAAUUUUAGAAAUUUCAUUGAUGCUUAAAGUUUUUAAUGAGAUUGGUCCUGACGAUAUAAGUGUAACAUGUGUACUAGGCGACGUCAGAAUAAGUGAUAUUAAACAGUUGAUAGUAAACAUUAGAAAAGAUUCGUCAUUCUUGAGCAGAUAUAUUAAAGAUGUUAAAGACUAUAUUAUGUUAAUGGAGGAAUCUACUCAUGUGCUGAGAUAAAAAAUAAGUUCUAUAUGCAGGAAAAAUAUUAGUGCAACUGAAGUCCGCCAAAAGCUUUCGUCCACCCUACAUUUUGAAAGGAAAUAUAAGUAUUUUUGUAAGAAACAUAAUGUUCUAUAUUUAAUUGAAAAGGCAAGAAGAACCUCUGCAGAAUUAUCUAAGAAAAGUCGAGACCAUCUUAUCAAUAGCUUUCGAUCUCUCGAUUUAACGAAAAAUGUUUCUGCUGACACAUAUUUAGGCAACCCUCAACGCCAUUUGACAAGUAUGGAAGUCGAAUUUAAUGAUGGCGACAAAGAUUCGUUUGAGCAGCCACCAUCUCAUUCAGACAUAACAGAAUGCAAAAUACAAAGAAUUUUCGUAAUUUCCAAUGAAAAUAGAACCGAUACUUACUCAACACGGCACAAGAAAAAUGUGCUUUUUAACGACCAAUCAACAAACAAAAUUAGCUUAAAUCAAUUAAUACAUCGCUUUAUUUUGUGCGAUGAAAGUGAAGAUAGUGACUACGACGAAGGAUACCCAGAAAGCGAGGAAUGUUAUGAAACUUCAAAAGAUGAAAACUUUAUUUUGUCAAAAAGUCCAGGAGGAACUAGUGUAUUUAUGAAAAAAAUUGAAGACUCUGAUGACGAAACUGAUUAUGAAAAAUGUUGUUCUCAUCACUACUGUGCUUUGAAGGAUUACUAUAACAAUAAUUUAUACGAUGCUAAUAGUUCCUUAGCUGAAGAUUAAUGAUUAACUGAUGAUUUAUGUUACUAUAAAAAGAUUAAAUAAUUCGAAAAGUUCAUUUCAAAAGAUAUAAUCUGGUGUAAAAUUCAUCUAUCAAAAUAAAAACAAUAAACACAAGUCUAACGUAAAAGACUUUGAUGAUGAUGAUAUAAAGAUUCAAUUGUUACCACGGGAAAACAUGUAAUCACGUCAAAUAA
This is an RNA transcript of Phymastichus coffea, 6393 nucleotides long. RefSeq lists it as uncharacterized. Lineage: Eukaryota; Metazoa; Arthropoda; Insecta; Hymenoptera; Eulophidae. The record is from RefSeq and is a predicted model, not a curated record. The transcript has 11 exons.